AGCGAACGCUGGCGGUAGGCCUAACACAUGCAAGUCGAACGGCAGCACAGUAAGAGCUUGCUCUCACGGGAGGCGAGUGGCGGAAGGGUGAGGAAGACAUCGGAAUCUACUUUUUCGCGGGGGCUAACGUAGGGAAACUUACGCUAAUACAGCAUACGACCUACGGGUGAAAGCAGGGGAUCUUCGGACCUUGCGCGAUUGAAUGAGCCGAUGUUGGAUUAGGUAGAUGGCGGGGUAAAGGACCACCAAGGCGGCGAUCCGUAGCUGGUCUGAGAGCAUGAUCAGGCACACUGUAACUGAGACACGGUCCCGACUCCUACGGGGGGCAGCAGUGGGGAAUAUUGGACGAGGGAGGCGAGCCGGAUCCAGCCAUACCGGGUGGAGCAAGAAGGCCUCAGGGUUGUAAAGCCCUUUUGUUGGUAAAGAAGAGCAGCUGUUUAAUACCCCGCUGUUCUGACGGUACCCAAAGAAUAAGCACCGGCUAACUUCGUG
Molecule: ribosomal RNA, 492 nt
Filed under: uncultured bacterium
Lineage: Bacteria
Description: partial 16S ribosomal RNA
Rfam family: Bacterial small subunit ribosomal RNA
Source: RNAcentral